GGAAAAUGUGCUCUGUUGCCCGGCAACAGCAUGGUCACAUUUCAGAGAGGAAACCAGGAAGUGAUCAGAUCCAUGGGGGAGAAGAAUAGUACAGGAAUGUUAGGGGUAAUGGUGGAAUAACUCUGAGACAGUCAAAGAAAUAAAACAGAAGACUUAGCCCAUAAAUAAAAUAACAAUGGCCCCCAACAAUGAAACAAUCCUAUGGGUAGGCGGGCAGCUUUCACAGCGCUGGUCAUGCCCGAAGCAGACAGGCAGGCUACACCGUCCCCCGAUGUCAGUUGUCUAAUGAUGGAUUGAACCGCUAUUUGUAUACUGCUAAAGUUCUGAUGAAUAAAGCGUUGUCUGA
Molecule: long non-coding RNA, 346 nt
Organism: Hyla sarda
Lineage: Eukaryota; Metazoa; Chordata; Amphibia; Anura; Hylidae
Exons: 3
Source: RefSeq, a predicted model, not a curated record